UUUGAGCAUGUUUAAUGCCAAAUAUUUGUCUUUCAUUUAAUAGUACCAACACACCAUUUUAAAACAGGUUUUGCUGAUAGAGCAGCUGAUUUUAAAUUAACUUUCCAUUUAACAAUGACAGUACUUGUCUCCUUGUUACUCCAAUUGUUUGAUUACUCUCUUGGACAUGUUUACUCUCAGGCAGUUAUCUAAUUACCUGAGGUAAGAACACUUAAUUGGGGAAGUUUUUAAAUUAACUUCCCAUCACAUUGCCUCUCUAGGAGGCCUGGUCAUGGUCUUAUGCCAAAUGCUGCUAUUUUUGCAAGGUGUAAAAUUCUCCACUAGGUGUUUCACAGACAGGGCUAUAAUUCAUUGGAGCUGCCAACUGUGAGGGGUAGAGAAAAAGUCUCCACUUCAUGUACUGCUGUUGCUAGGUGUGAGGUUAAUUUGUAUGCUCCAAAAAGUUAGCCUUAAAAUUAACCAUUAAGGCAGAGAAAGAAUACCAUUAUCCAGGAGAUAAUAACAAAUACUGUGGAAUGAUUUCAUACCUGGAAUUGUAUUAGGAAGGGAGAAAUGAGACAUUUCAGCAUCUACAUGAGUAUCUCAGUUUGGUACCACCUUUCUAUCUGGUAGGGAUCCAAACAUGGAUCAGGAGCACCAUGAAUCUCUGCUAGGAGAGGAGUUUGUUGCUAAGAGUCAGACUGGAAAGUGUCGAUCCCAAAUACUGUCCCAGUUCAUGGUGGGAUUGAUUUUAAGAGUGAAACAGACCAGUCUAGGAGAAAUGGUUCAGUUGACCCCAGAAGAAAAUAUUCCUGUGAGAAAAUGCAGGUGAGGAGAGAUGUUCAUGGUGCUGCUCAUGGAAGCUCGAGGAAAUGUGGAACAGCAGGACCCAAGGGAUGGGUGUGUUUGGCACCACAUUGAGGAUACAUUCAGUGUCUUAUUGGGAGUCCUGAAAAUUUUCUUAAGUUGUCAUCAGGAAAAUAAUUGUCUGGCUACUAAUAAUUUCCUGCUGUGGGGAAGCUGACUGUGGAAAGAAGAGCCUGUUGGAGUGCUGGCCUGGAUUUGGGAGGAGCCAAGUAUCCUGGAGCUGUGAGGUUUUUCCUGUAAGAAAUCUAUGAUGGGGAUGUUUUCCCUGGCUGUCCCGAGGGGAAGGAACAGCUUUGGAGUCUUUGCCAGCCACAGACUGAGGAUGCAUCCCCUGAAAACCGGUUCAGGAUUGUUCAUCUGAAUCUGCCCCUGACCUGUGGCUUCCAGGGACCCUUCUGGUGUUCUGGACAUUCCCAGGAGAGGAUACUCCAACACCAAAAUGGUUUGAGUGUGAAGGGACCUUAAGGAUCACCUCAUUCCAUUCCCUGCCAUUCCAUCCACAGCCCAGGGUGCUCCAAGUCCCAUCCAACCUGGCCUUGGACACUUCCAGGGAUGGAGCAGCCACGAUUUCUGUGGGUUUAUGGGCACAGGAGGAAAUUUCCAGCAGGAACUGAGACGUUUCCUUUGCUCUGUCCAGCCCCAGCAGGGCUUUCGGAGGCAGACAUGGGAACAGGAGCUUUGCCCAGUGCCUCGGGGGAGUCUCUGAUGUCCCAAAACCCAGCAGAGCAAACACUUGUGGUUUAACAUCCCAUUAAAAGGAGAUGCCAAGCCAGGAACAGGAAUGAGCCGCAGAGCAGGGAUGGUACCAAGCACAGGGGUGACCAUCCAGAGGGUCCCACCAGUCCAUCCCUGCUGCCCAGGUUUGGGAUGAGCAGGCUGGUGAUGCCCCUGUGUUUGCUCUGCAGGAUGAGGAAGCCAGCCCUGGUGAGGAGGAGGAUGAGGAGGUGUGGGAGGAUGGAGACAGCAGCCACCAAAGGCUGGAGAAGGCACAGGUCCAGGUAGGAGACGUUGCCUUCCAAAGAGAGGGACCUGUCUGUCCCAUUGGAAUUUGGGGCGUGAGGCAAUGGAACAAAGGAUUUGAUUCCAUUUUCUUACUCGGGAUCUCAUGUGCCUUAGGAGGUAUUUGAGAAAAGCUCAUUAUCCCUGAUGGAAUCUCUGUCAAACAGGGAUUGAAGCUUUCUGAAGUGGCCCAAACCUGCCUGCAUGUAUCCAAAUACAGCCCCUAAUCCCUGUUUUUGUGUACAGCUGGAAUGAGACCUCAACUGCUGUCACUUGCCAGCUCUCAAGUUGUGUAGCUCAGUCUGCAGCCCUGAAGGGCCAGGCUGUGUUUAAACAGCCUGAGGUAGCAGAGAACUGGAGUCAUUUCCUAGCAGGGAACUUGACUUGGAAGCUGCAUUCCAAAUUUCGUCCACAUUUAUUUUAUCUCCCACAUGCAGUCCCUAAAGAAGCAGAGAUGGGGUGUUGCUAACAAAAGAACGUCCAAAUUCAUCGGUGGUAGAGGGCUUAAAGUGUGAGUGGAGAUGCCUUUAGGACACUUCCAAUUCCUUGGUAUAUGAAUGGAAUUUAAAUGAAAUAGCCAAAUCCUGACAAGCUUCUAUGAGCUCCAGAGCCUCUGCAGGUGUUUUACAGCCAGAGACAAGAGCCUGGAGUCUCUCCCCAAAAGCUGCCUGCUGGUUUGUUUGGCCAGGCAUAGGAAAAAUUGUGUAUUCCCUGGGGCUGUCCUCAUGGAGAAAGGUUUAUUUAUGUGCCCUGGGUUUAUUCUCUUCAAAAUGAUGGAAACCGAUUUCACUGAAAGGCCAGAGGUGCCAAAUGCUUUCCCCAGCCAGAGCUCGGAGCCAGCCCUGUGGGAAGGGGUUUAAUGACCCCUUUCCCAGUCCCUCGAGGCAGCAGCACUGGAGCACUUGAGCCAAACGUGCCCGAGGUGCUGAGUGCUGGCAGGAGGCAAAUCCAGGAUUGGGCAGUGGGAGUUUGCACUGCUCCUGUAACCCCAGACCUGGAGCUGUGCUUCAGAAAGCCCAGGAGAUGCUGCCUCACUCAAACCUUGCUUAAAGCUCAGCAUCCCUCCUGCACCCUUGGAGUUAAUGUUGCUUCCAUUGCUGCUAUUUCUUUUUUUGUUUAUAAUAAUUAUGAUUGUUUCUGUAAAUUCCCACUCCAUGUCUUCCACAGGCCUUGGCUUCCCAGAGGUGGUGCUUGAGGAAAGCUCCUCCAGCCUGGGAAGUGCUUUUGGCGCCAGACACAUUCCCAGUGCCCAGGAGCAGCAGGCCCUGUGCUGUUCCCAGCAGGUGAGGCAGAGGUGC
Non-coding RNA from Cyanistes caeruleus (blue tit), 3143 nucleotides. The record is from RefSeq and is a predicted model, not a curated record. Lineage: Eukaryota; Metazoa; Chordata; Aves; Passeriformes; Paridae.